Molecule: ribosomal RNA, 918 nt
Filed under: Frigoribacterium sp.
Lineage: Bacteria; Bacillati; Actinomycetota; Actinomycetes; Micrococcales; Microbacteriaceae
Description: bacterial SSU rRNA
Rfam family: Bacterial small subunit ribosomal RNA
Source: RNAcentral
UUAUUGGGCGUAAGAGCUCGUAGGCGGUUUGUCGCGUCUGCUGUGAAAUCUGGGGGCUCAACCCCCAGCCUGCAGUGGGUACGGGCAGACUAGAGUGCGGUAGGGGAGAUUGGAAUUCCUGGUGUAGCGGUGGAAUGCGCAGAUAUCAGGAGGAACACCGAUGGCGAAGGCAGAUCUCUGGGCCGUAACUGACGCUGAGGAGCGAAAGCAUGGGGAGCGAACAGGAUUAGAUACCCUGGUAGUCCAUGCCGUAAACGUUGGGAACUAGAUGUGGGGGCCAUUCCACGGUCUCCGUGUCGCAGCUAACGCAUUAAGUUCCCCGCCUGGGGAGUACGGCCGCAAGGCUAAAACUCAAAGGAAUUGACGGGGGCCCGCACAAGCGGCGGAGCAUGCGGAUUAAUUCGAUGCAACGCGAAGAACCUUACCAAGGCUUGACAUAUACCGGAAACGUCCAGAGAUGGUCGCCCCGCAAGGUCGGUAUACAGGUGGUGCAUGGUUGUCGUCAGCUCGUGUCGUGAGAUGUUGGGUUAAGUCCCGCAACGAGCGCAACCCUCGUUCUAUGUUGCCAGCACGUUAUGGUGGGAACUCAUAGGAGACUGCCGGGGUCAACUCGGAGGAAGGUGGGGAUGACGUCAAAUCAUCAUGCCCCUUAUGUCUUGGGCUUCACGCAUGCUACAAUGGCCGGUACAAAGGGCUGCGAUACCGUAAGGUGGAGCGAAUCCCAAAAAGCCGGUCUCAGUUCGGAUUGAGGUCUGCAACUCGACCUCAUGAAGUCGGAGUCGCUAGUAAUCGCAGAUCAGCAACGCUGCGGUGAAUACGUUCCCGGGCCUUGUACACACCGCCCGUCAAGUCAUGAAAGUCGGUAACACCCGAAGCCAGUGCCUAACCCUUGUGGAUGGAGCUGUCGAAGUGGGAUCG